Molecule: ribosomal RNA, 301 nt
Filed under: uncultured bacterium
Lineage: Bacteria
Description: partial 16S ribosomal RNA
Rfam family: Bacterial small subunit ribosomal RNA
Source: RNAcentral
CAGUAGCCGCGGUAAUACGUAGGUGGCAAGCGUUGUCCGGAAUUAUUGGGCGUAAAGCGCGCGCGGGUGGUUUAAUAAGUCUGAUGUGAAAGCCCACGGCUCAACCGUGAAGGGUCAUUGGAAACUGUUAAACUUGAGUGCAGGAGAGAAGAGUGGAAUUCCUAGUGUAGCGGUGAAAUGCGUAGAGAUUAGGAGGAACACCAGUGGCGAAGGCGGCUUUUUGGCCUGUAACUGACACUGAGGCGCGAAAGCGUGGGGAGCAAACAGGAUUAGAUACCCGUGUAGUCCCUGUCUCUUAUAA